UGGGGAAUAUUGCACAAUGGGCGAAAGCCUGAUGCAGCAACGCCGCGUGAGUGAUGAAGGUCUUCGGAUUGUAAAGCUCUGUCUUUUGGGACGAUAAUGACGGUACCAAAGGAGGAAGCCACGGCUAACUACGUGCCAGCAGCCGCGGUAAUACGUAGGUGGCGAGCGUUGUCCGGAUUUACUGGGCGUAAAGGGUGCGUAGGCGGAUGUUUAAGUGAGAUGUGAAAUACCCGGGCUUAACUUGGGUGCUGCAUUUCAAACUGGAUAUCUAGAGUGCAGGAGAGGAGAAUGGAAUUCCUAGUGUAGCGGUGAAAUGCGUAGAGAUUAGGAAGAACACCAGUGGCGAAGGCGAUUCUCUGGACUGUAACUGACGCUGAGGCACGAAAGCGUGGGUAGCAAACAGGAUUAGAUA
This 412-nucleotide ribosomal RNA is filed under the name uncultured bacterium. RNAcentral's name for it is "partial 16S ribosomal RNA". It matches the Rfam family "Bacterial small subunit ribosomal RNA", at positions 355 to 784 of the family's 1533-position model. The record is from RNAcentral.